RNAcentral lists this non-coding RNA (21 nucleotides) under Mus musculus (house mouse). Lineage: Eukaryota; Metazoa; Chordata; Mammalia; Rodentia; Muridae. The record is from RNAcentral.
UGAGGUUGGUGUACUGUGUGU